GAUUUUGGAAUAAGUUGAAUAGAUCAUAGGUUAGUUGCAUCAUCUGGAAUUGAACUGUACCGCAUCAGACCAGAUAUAUCUAUUUAGAGAAAGGGAUCAAAAUCCUCAUUCAUUCCUACUUUCCAGCCACUACGGAUUGAUUGUCCCUACCUUGUGCAGAGUUCAGACCUGGUGUGUGUAAACUGUGAGGUCCUCCUGCAAAUUAAGACGUGGCAAUUACUCCUCCGCACUGUUACAAUGGUCCAGAGUGUCCAGACCCAGACUACGUACAUAAUGGAUUCUUAGAGCAAGAUCUCCGUCACAUAUAUUUCUAUGACGUGGCAAUUACUCUGUCUCUUAUUUUGGAUGCUACACCAUCCCGGUAAUGAAAAUUUUGUGCUCUGGCUGUCAUAUUAAUGGCGGAUCCUCGUGUUCUUGUCCAGUUGUCCCCUUGAAGUAUACUGUAACCGAAUGAAAGAGAUCAUAACUGAUAAGUAUUUUCAGGUAAGCAUUUGCUCUUCCUCACUCUAAUUUCUGCGUUUUCCUCUCUGAUGUUUUUGUUAAAAUGCCGCUGUAAUGAGCAGAAAUCCUGGGUUCCCAAAUUGGAAUCUUGGUUGGGAACUCCUCUGUAAUGUUUUCCUCUGUUAAAAAUUGAUUCUUGAUUGUUUGAUUCUUACGGGUUAAGCGUUGGAAGAUGGAAGUGGUUUCAAUAAAAGAAUCAGAUUCUUAAUAUCCUUUAUGAAAUGAGUAAAUUAUGAAUGAGGAUUCAUGUCCUUUGAAUGUGACAACAGGGAUUCAAUGGACAAAGCAGAGGCCACCAAUAGAAUUCAUAAUGGGUCCGUUAAAACAGUGGUUAGUUUGUAUGUAGAACAAAUGAAUGAAGAAAAACCGCAAUGGAAGAAAACCCAGGUGGCAUUCUCUGAUGUACAGAAAUCGGCUUCGAGAGCGAAAGAAUUAUAUUUGGCAAAGAGGGACAUUGGUCUAUUCAAUGAGAAUAGAAAGGUUGCAGAAUCUGUAAAAUCCCAAGCAGAAUCUGAGCUCUACAGUGCAAGGAUGAGAGUGAAGGAUCUCACUUCGCAGAUUGAAGAAUCGGUCUUAAUAGAAAAAUCUCAGAAAAGUGAACUUGAAAAGCUGCAGAAGCAGGAAAUACAUUAUAAUGGAUUUGCAGUCACUGUACGGAAAGCAGAUAAGCACCAGUUUGCACAAGUGAUGAGGGAUUUGGAGUUUGCAAAACAACAAUUGAGUAAGCUUAAACUUGAGAGGGAUUCUGUCCUGAAAGCAAAAUUGCAGGCAAACAAAGAAUUUGAAGCCUCGUUUUCUAGAUUGAAAUCUCAUUCAAGCACUGUGCAAGCGCUAAGAAAAGAGAUUGAGGAAACCAAUGAAGAGCUAGUACUUGUUCAUCUGGCUAGGAUUGAAGCAGUUAAAGAACUUGGAACAAUUGAAGCCCAAAGAGAAGCAAAGGCCUCUCAAUUCUCAGGGAAAUUGGAUAGAACCAGAAAUAGAAUCAAGGACAUUACCCAAGAACUAGAGCAUGCAAAGGAACUGGAGAGCGAACUGGCCAUUACAAUUUCAGAUGUUGAUGUUUUACAAAAUGAAUUGAAGCUAGUUAAGGCAAUGAACGAAAGGGUUGAGAAUGAAAAAUCAGGUGAUAUCGAAGCCCAUAAGGGAAGGGAAGUGGAAACACAAGCUUCAAGGUUAUUGCAUCCAAUUACUGGAGAAUUGGAUGCUGCAAAGAAGGAAUUAGCAAGUAUCAGAGAAGAAGAAUUUCAAUUAAUGGCCUCUAUGGAUACAGUACGAGAUGAACUCAAGCAUAUUUCUGAAGAAAGUGCUCAGCUGAGGACAUUAGAAGAGAAAUCAGACUUGCUUCUACAAAGCAUAGGUUCUAAACUCCUUAAGGGCAAAUCCAAGCUGAAAGCUGCAUAUACUGCCGAAGAGAAAGCAAAAACAAUUGUGUCCAAUCUUUCAGAGACACUUCAACAGUUACAACUAGAAGCAAUGACUGCAAAUAGAGAGAAGAAACUUCUUAUUGAAGAAGCUGCACGCGUCAGAACAGAAGAAAUUCAGAAGACAGAGUCUGAGAAUGACGUAGCAGAGGAUAUGUUACAAGCUGCCAUGAAGGAGCUUGAAGCAGUCCAAGCAUCAGAAGCAAUCACUCUUGAGAGAUUAAAAUCUCUUACUGAGAAAACCUUGAAGGCAAUAGCUUCAGAAUCUCAGCACAAGUCUUCGGUAACCAUCUCAAAUUUUGAAUAUGAGUACUUGACUAGUCGGGCAGAAGGGGCUGAGGAAAUUGCAGAUAAGAAGGUUGUGGCAGCUCAGGCAUGGACUGAAGCACUAGAGGCCUCUGAGAAAGAGAUAUUGUUGAACUAUGAAACAGCUCAGCGAGAGAUUAGGGAGCUAAUGCUGGUGUAAAAGCAAGAGGUAUACAGAAUAGAGAAGUAAAUAAAGGAGAAGAGACAACAUGAGAAACACCGAGAAGCCACAAACACACAGCUUGAGAAAGUUUUGCCAAAAAAUUCAUUAAGACAAUGGCAGCUCGACACCGAAAAGUCGUAGCUUUCCUGAAAGGAUGCAUGUAAACCGCUCUGCUACAAUCACUACGAAGAAAAGGAAGAAGGAAGUGCGGUUGAAGCAGAAGCAAGGGGACUCAUCUGAGGGAUCUGAGCAAUGUUAUUGGGUAGAAAAUCCAUAGAAGUUUGGACCAGUUCAAAGCUCUUGACCCAGAUGUUUCCAAAGAUUCAUGAGAUGGCACGGCUAUGGGACAGUUUCUAUGUGCUGUUUAAUAUACAGUCUUAUUAAACUUCUGGGAGAAGGCUGGGCACAGCACCCACAUGCUGCAAGCUAGCGCUCGCUGUGUUUAUCUUUCUGUUCCCCUUUCGAAAUGAACCUCUGCCCUCCUGGAUAAUGCCCCGUCCCGCUUUUCUAUUGGUGCAGUCCGCUAGCUUGCCGCACACAGGCAGGGUGCCUGCCUCUCUCCCUUAACAUUUUAACUCCUUUUGUAUUUAAGCACUAGCUAGUCAGGGACUCAGGGUAGGUUGCAAGUGUUGUUCAGUACUUCGCUAGCUUUUGGAAUGGUUCUUUCUUCUUAGAAACUGUAAUCUGUCCAUCUGUGACUAGAAAAGAUAAGAUUUAAGAAUUUUCAUCUUACUUUCUUA
RNA transcript from Macadamia integrifolia, 3131 nucleotides. It is a transcript of the gene named protein PLASTID MOVEMENT IMPAIRED 2-like, with no coding region annotated. Lineage: Eukaryota; Viridiplantae; Streptophyta; Magnoliopsida; Proteales; Proteaceae. The record is from RefSeq and is a predicted model, not a curated record. The transcript has 3 exons.